CUCCCUGAGACUUUAAGUCUCCUGAAGGAACGUUGAAGACGACGACGUUGAUAGGCCGGGUGUGUAAGCGCAGCGAUGCGUUGAGCUAACCGGUACUAAUGAACCGUGAGGCUUAACCUU
Molecule: ribosomal RNA, 120 nt
Filed under: Klebsiella pneumoniae
Lineage: Bacteria; Pseudomonadati; Pseudomonadota; Gammaproteobacteria; Enterobacterales; Enterobacteriaceae
Also listed under: 2 other names
Description: partial 23S ribosomal RNA
Rfam family: Bacterial large subunit ribosomal RNA
Source: RNAcentral